UACGUAGGGGGCAAGCGUUGUCCGGAAUUAUUGGGCGUAAAGAGCUCGUAGGCGGUUUGUCGCGUCUGCCGUGAAAGUCCGGGGCUCAACUCCGGAUCUGCGGUGGGUACGGGCAGGCUAGAGUGAUGUAGGGGAGACUGGAAUUCCUGGUGUAGCGGUGAAAUGCGCAGAUAUCAGGAGGAACACCGAUGGCGAAGACAGGUCUCUGGGCAUUAACUGACGCUGAGGAGCGAAAGCAUGGGGAGCGAACAGG
RNAcentral lists this ribosomal RNA (253 nucleotides) under uncultured bacterium. RNAcentral's name for it is "partial 16S ribosomal RNA". It matches the Rfam family "Bacterial small subunit ribosomal RNA", at positions 524 to 776 of the family's 1533-position model. The record is from RNAcentral.